Molecule: unclassified non-coding RNA, 378 nt
Filed under: plant metagenome
Description: partial contains 5.8S ribosomal RNA, internal transcribed spacer 2, and large subunit ribosomal RNA
Rfam family: 5.8S ribosomal RNA (bases 1-105)
Source: RNAcentral
GAAAUGCGAUAAGUAAUGUGAAUUGCAGAAUUCAGCGAAUCAUCCAAUCUUUGAACGCACCUUGCGCUCCUUGGUAUUCCUUGGAGCAUGCCUGUUUGAGUAUCAUGAAAUCUUCAAAGUAAAUCUUUUGUUAACUCAAUUGGUUUCUACUUUGGUAUUGGAGGUCUUUGCAGCUUCACACCUGCUCCUCUUUGUUCAUUAGCUGGAUCUCAGUGUUAUGCUUGGUUCCACUCGGCGUGAUAAGUUAUCUAUCGCUGAGGACACUGUAAAAGGUGGCCAAGGUAAAUGCAGAUGAACCGCUUCUAAUAGUCCAUUGACUUGGACAAUACUUUUAUGAUCUGAUCUCAAAUCAGGUAGGACUACCCGCUGAACUUAAGC